GGGAAACGGAAUGUUGCAACAAGAGGUCCCAGCAUAAAUUCAAGCGCCUGAGUCUAAAGGAAGAAGAGACGCGUCUUGAAAGAAGCGGCUUGUGAACAUUAAAUUAUGCCCAACAUAACAAGUCUGAUGAAGAAAGUCGUAUCCCUGGAGGAACCGCCGACAAACUUGAUGAAGAACGCCAUGUCCCCAGUGGACCAACAAAAUGAUGAAAACUGGUACUCAGAAAAGCAAAGGGCCAGUGUCAUCCCCCAAGUUCAUGAAAUAAAAGCAUCGGAGGAAAACACAAGCCGACAAGAAAGCAAGGCAAUAAGGAACAAGUUGCAGUCUAGUCCAGCUUCUUGUUUUUCUUUUAAGCGCAAUGUAAUAAGGGGACCGUUAGAGCAGCACUAACAGCAUACAUCAGCAUGUAACAGCACACAACAACAGCGAAUGUUACAGUCACAUGGUAGUCCCAGCUACCAAAACUUCCCGAACUAUAUUGACCUGAUUCCUGUUCAGCCCAGGAUAUGUAGGAACCUCUGAAGCAAAGGUUCGGUCAAAUCUUUUUUCAAAAAAUGCUUCACACGGAGUAUUCGGACGAGCAAAAAUCGCUCGCUUUAUCUUUGCACGAAAACCCUUCGUGUCUUCGGGCAAAGAGGGGCAGCUGUAAACACGUGAUUUCUUGCUCUGUAUGAGAAUCACUCCCAAAAAUUCAAAAAUUAGAAAAGGGUUACCUUCGGGUACAAUUUUGAGAAUCUGCGUGACAUUUUAAUAAUUGUUCUGUCCGUAAAUACUCACCUUGCUAUAGUUAAGAAUACAAAAAAUAUGUGUCACAUGUGCAUUUACGAUUUAAUUGUGCAUUUAGGAAUUAAUUAAACUUUAAUUUGGUUUUAAGGAAAAAUCACAAAAAAUAUGCAUCUUUUAUUCUAUUUAUUGUCAUUAAGUGAUUUUAUUUUAUUUAAAUGGUUAAUGUGUGUGAUAAUUGUUGUCUAAGUAAUAAUCAAUAUUUGUAUAAGUUUUAUUUUUGAUUUUACAACUUAGUUAGGAAUUUUGUUUAAAUUAGAAAUUAAAAGAAGGAAAAGAAAAAAGUUUUAAUUGGAGGAAAAUCCGGAUUUGGGCUCAAAUUUGAGACCAAAAUUAGGCCCAAAACCAAAACAGACCCAGCCCAACCCAGGCUGCCCAAGCACGGCCCCAAACGACAUCGUAUCGGCGUCCUUAUUUGAUCCGUUGAUUUGAUUCAAAUGAACGGUCCCGAUCAGGCCGCUCAUUUAACCACAACGACGCCGUUUCAGGACGUUUGAUCUGAGCCGUCCAACCCCAUGGAUCCAACGGAUCCAGGCCCUCCCAUAGGCCCGUUAAUCUGACCCGAUCCAUUCCCCUACCCGGUCUCACCCACCAUAACACCCAAACGACGUCGUCCUUCCUGAAUGAACAGAUCCUGGCCAUAGAUCUCACUUGAUCCAACGUCCAGGAUCUAAACCCUUAAUCAAUAUAUAAACCUAACCCUUUUACCCCGCCCCCCUAUCCAAGCCCCCACCCCGUUCCUUCAUCUCUCUCAGAAAGGACCCCAAAAUACCCCGAACCCUAGCAGCCGCCAUAGCUCCCCUUUCACCUGAACCCGGCGGCAACAACGUCGAUGACCACCAGACUAACACCCUUAAAACACAAGACCACCCUCAACCCCGAUCUGGUAAUGGUUUGGCUCGAAUCUUCCUGGAACGUCUCGAAUAAUCAUUCGAAGGUUCGAGCCUAAACCCUAAGUCACCGGAUGAGUCCCAAAUUCACCCUGGUCACUCCCCUGACAUCCCUCAUGCCCUAAUCAACUUUGGUUCCGGUCAAAUAUAAGCAGAACUCUUCGAACCCCAAAUCUGAGUUCAAGAACCCUAAAAGCCAAACCUGGUUCGUUUUGAGGUAAGCUUCCGGUGUAUUCUUCUUUUCUUUCUUUCUGUUUAUGUGCUAUUCACAUGUUCGUAGAUUUGUUUCUGGAUUUUGAUUAUUUUUCUGUCAAUCCCUCCCAUCUUCAAAAACCCUUUUUAUUUGGCCGAUUUCUUUUUCUUCAGUGUUAAGUGUAUGUUAUAAGAUGUCUAUUCUCUUCGAUUGAUAUUGUCGACUAGUUUCAUAAACUCCAUGUUAAAUAUCCCGAGUAUUGAAAUAAUUUGGUGCCCUGUUUAGUCUAUGUUGUUUGUCGAUUAAUUGUUACGUAUAAUAGUUCGUAUAGUCGACCUGAGUAACGUCGUCAAAUAAUUAAGUUUCGUAAGUUCCAUUGUUGUCCGAAAAAUGCCUGAAUCACUCAGUGGUUCUGUUUUGAGUUUAGUUGAUUAGCGACUAAUUGGUAUACGUUAUAACUCGCAAAGUCGACUCGACACAUGUUGUCCUUUGUUUUUGCAGUAUUAAAUGGCAACAACUUAACUCUUACUGUCUAAUUUUUGUUGAACGGUUGUGUUGGACUGAUUAUAGGUUUGUUUGUUAGUUGUGGGGGUUCGAACUAGUUCUCAAAUGGUUAUAACUGGCAGAUUCAAUAGAAUGAAAGGGUGGGGCAAGGCAGUAAUGAUCAAGGGUCUGUUGGGUAAUUUUGGUUGGGGCAAAGACUGAUUAAAUGUUCAGGAUUAAUGGGCUAUCAAUUGUUUAAUCAAAAAAUACCAUUAAUUUAGUAUUAGUGGGGACAAAACAUAAGAGCAUGGGAUUUUAAAAUGAAUACUUAAAUGAACCCAUGACUCUUGAUUAGAGCAAUAGGCCAAGCAUGGGGAACCAAAUGACUUGCAUCAAGAAGAUGCUUAGGCAUGGGAAGUGAAGGGUAUGGGCAGAGCUGGAGGCUGUGAAGUUCUAGGCAGACCUUAGGGGGUCUCUUUCAGAUUAUAAAUAGAGCUAUUUUUUGGCUAAGGGUGGAUAGUUUGAGGUUGGAAAAACUGAAAGAAAAAAAAACAGAAAGAAAAUUUCAGAACGCUGUAACUAAACACUGUCUGAAAACUGCAUAAGAGAUUAAGUUGGUCAAGCUGUCUUUGCCAAGUCAGUUAUUCUAGUUGGGCUAUUACUAUUCCAUUAGGAUAUUCUGAUUUUCUCUGCGGGAUUACUACUAUUCUGGGCUUCUAUAUGCUGCUAACUGGUUCUGGUCUUAUUGCUAUUUGAAGUUGUUGUUGGUUAUUUGCCAAGCUUUUGUGAUUAUUGAACUGCUGUUGCUAUUGCAUUGAGUAUUCUGGGUUUUUCUGCUGGUUUGCUACUCUGUUUCUGGGUUUGUUUUUGUGGUGCUCGACCACCUGUGGGUUAUCGUUGUUGAAACUGAUGUUGGGUGUUCUUGAGCUAGAGGUUACAUUGUUGUUGUUUGCACUGCUGUGUUACUGCUGCUUGGUUGCUUGCUGCUGAUAUUCUUCCUCUUCUUCUUGUUCUUGUUGUCUAAAUCCAGGUACACAUACUAAGUCGAUGUAAUUCCAUGUUUGAAGUUGACAUUUGAAGCAUGAAUACACACAUGAAGAAGUCGAAGUCAUAAAUUGAAUUUUAGUUGUUUUAUUGAUUGUACUUAAGCCAUUUUGUGUAUCAUUGAUAUGUAACUCCUGCCAAGGAGUUGUAUAAUUAGAUCGUCUUUUAUAUAUGCCGUUAUUUAGCUUGUGAACUCCCUAUGUAGGUCCUUAGUUAAAAUAUGGACAUAAUGUUAGAAAGCACCCUGCUUACUUCAGUUUGUUAUAAAGAUGCAUGUUAAACUAGAGUUGGGUAAAUGGAUUUCUAAUUGUCAGGACAGUCUAAUCUCAGCAUGCAAACGGUUCGAAUUAGGAUUAAAACUUGAUCUUAAAGUCUUUUCAUGACAACAAAUCGCCUAUUUUAAACUUACAAUAAUCCUAUAACCCAAUUUGCAAGAAUUUCUACAUCAAGAGAGUAAUGGUACAAGUAAAUAAAAGACCACAUAAUAAUCAAAGAAUCACUAACAAUUCGAAGUUUGAACUUUACAAGUUUAUCGGUAUCCAACAAAUUAAACAAACUUACGUAAAUGAAACAUCAUAGAAUGCAACAAAUAUUACAAAAAUAACAGGUCAAGUAAAACAUGUGACAAUCAAGAUGUGCAAGUAAAACAAUUAAAGGCAAGUAGCAAAUAGCCAUGGAGUCAUGGAAGGGAUGAAUAAUUUAGUACGCGAACAAUGAAAUGACAAAUAAUAAUUAUGGCAUAGAAGUCAAAGAAAGCAAGUAACAAUUAAGGCAUGAACACGAUAAUUCGUGAAAUAACAAAAAACAUAGAAAACAACGCGACGACGUAUAUACACUCGUCACCUCGCUUAUACGCCAUUUUCUCACAUAAUUCGCAUAACACAUAGUUCAAAAAUUCCUAAUUCCCUCAAGUCAAGGUUAGAUCCAACACUUAGCUCACUCUACAAUCAAAUCAAAGCGCAACCAGGGUCUCUCCUCUAGAAUUAGCCUAAAACCCAAUCAGUUCUAACCAAAUAUAGUUCAAAUAAUUCAAAAUAAGCUUUAGAAACUACCCACGAGUGAAAAAUAUUCAAUCUUUAAUGAUUUUGGAUAAAGUCAAGUCAACCCUAGGCCCUGCUUGGUCAAAAUCCGAGAUUCAGACCAAAACUCAAUUACCCACUCACCCCCGAGCUGGGUUAUUAGUUUCGAAAUUUGACCGCAAUUUGAGGGCUAAAUCUCAAUUUCUCAAAAUCCCCAAUUUUUACCUAAAUCCUUAAUUUCUACCAUGGAAAAGCAUAUAUUAAAGGUUAAAAUCAGUGGAUGUUUAUGAACGUUGAAGAAAACAAGUUAAAAUCUACUAACUUUUGAAGUUUGGAUGAAAAACCUCUUCAAAAUCGCCUCUAGGCCGAGCUCAAAUUUGAAAAUGGUGAAAAAUGGUUUGAUUCCCGGCUUUGGGAUAUUUAAGUUACUAGGCGUCAGUCCUUCUUCGCAUUUGCAAAGGGCGUGACACGAUCGUGAAGAGCAGCGACCCAAAUGGCCUUCGCAUUCGCGAUGGCUUGUCCCCCUUUGGCUUCGCGUUCACGAGCCUCGGCUAGCAUUUUUGUAGAGCAUCUGACCAACUCCCACUAGAAUCCCAUAACAAUACGCAUUCGCGAAAGGCUGAUCGUGUUUGCGAAGGGUAAACCCCCCGUGCUUCGCGUUCGUAACCAAGCCAUCGCGUUCACGAUGAAGGAGUUCCGCCCCUAUCCCAGCUUCCCCUUCGCGAUCGCGGGAGUACCUUCACGAUCGUGAAGCACAAAAAUCUCAGACACCAGCUAUCAACAAAACUAGCAGAUCCUCUAAGUCCAAAAUCAAUCCGUAGCCUAUCUGAAACUCACAUAAUCCCCUCGGAAUCCAUAUCAAACAUGAACAUAAGUGUAAUAACAUCAUACAAACUCGCUGGCGCGAUAAAAACACCAAAAUAACACCUACAACUACGAAUCAGACAUCAAAAUGUAUGAAACUUAAGAACUUUCAAAUUCACAACCGAGCGUCCGAAUCAUGUCAAAACAAUUUUGUUUUGUACCAAAUUUUGCAGACAAGUCAUAAAUAGUAAAAUGAACCUAUACUAAGUCUGGGAACCAAAUUCUGGGGCUGAUAGCUAUAAAGUCAAUAUAUUGUUAAACUUCAGAAUUCUUUAAACCUUCAAUUUAUUAGUUUUCAACAAAUCACAUCAAAAUAAGUUAGGGACUUCCGAAUUCAAUUCCGAGCAUGCACCCAAGUCCCAAAUCAUGAUACGGAUCCACCGGGAUCGUCAAAUACCGAUCCGGGUCUGUUUACAUAAAAUGUUGAUCAUAGUCAACUCAAACCAUUUUUAAGGCAAAAAUUCACACUUUUAACAAUUUUUCACAUAAAGGCUUCCGGUAUAAGACACGGACUGUGCAUGCAAAUUGAGAAAUGCUAAAUGGAGCUAAUAGAGGUCUCAUAAUACGAAAAUAAAGGCUAAAACUCAAAAUGACCUAUCGGUUAAUCAUAUUUUCCACCUCUAAAAUAAACAUUUGUCCUCGAACUUACACAAAAAGGUACCUGGACUGGUGAAAAAGUGUGGGUAUCAACUCCGCAUGUCGGACUCAAACUCCCACAUAGCUACCUCGAUCGCCUGACCUCUCUACUGCACUUUAACUGAAGGAUAACUCUUAGACCUCAACUUUCGAACCUACCGUUCUAGAAUGGCCACCGGCUCCUCUUCGUAAGUCAAAUCCUUGUCUAAUUGGACUGAGCUGAAAUCUAAUACAUGGGACAGAUCACUAUGAUACUUUUGGAGCAUGGAGACAUGGAACACAUGGUAAACUGCUGAUAAGAUAGGUGGUAAUGUAAGCUUGAAGGCCACCUAACAAAGUCUCUAAAGAAUCUCAAAGGGUCUGAUAUACCUAGGGCUCAAUUUACACUUCUUUCUGAGCCACAUCACACCCAUCAUGGGUGAAUCCCGGAGCAAAAUCCUCUCUCCAACCAUGAAUGCAACAUUACGAGCUCUACGAUCGGCAUAACUCUUUUGCCUAGAUUAGGCUAUGCGAAGUCAAUCAUGAAUCGUCUUGACCUUUUCUAAGGCAUCCUAAACCAAAUCGGUACCUAAUAGCGGAGCCUCUCCCGACUCAAACCAACUAACUGGCGAACGAUACUGCCUCCAAUGUAAUGCUUCAUAGGGAGCCAUCUGAAUACUCGAUUGGUAGAUGUUGUUGUAGGCAAAAUCCCCAAGCGGCAAAAACUCAUCCCAUGAACCCCCGAAAUCCAUAACGCAGGCGCGAAAGCAUUUCCUCCAAUAUCUUGAUGGUGCUCCCGGACUGUCCAUCCGUUUGGGGGUGAAUAUUGUACUCAACUUAACCCAUGUGCCUAACUCAUGUUAUACGACCCUCCAGAAGUGCCAUAUGAACUGCGUACCCCGAUCAGAAAUAAUGGACACCGGCAUUACCGUGAAGAUGAACAAACUCGCAGAUAUAGAUCUCAUCCAACCGCUCUAAAAAAUAGGUAACUGCUACUGGAAUGAAAUGUGCCGACUUGGUCAGCCUGUCCAUAAUGACCCAUACUGCGUCGAAUUUCUUCGAGGUCCGUGGGAGCCCAACAACAAAAUCUAUGGUACUAUGCUCCCACUUCCACUCGGGAAUCUCAAGCCUCUGAAGCAAAUUACCAAGCCUCUGAUGCUCAUACUUUACUUGCUGGAAAUUAAAGCACCGAGCCACAUAUACAAUUAUAUCUUUCUUCAUUCUUCUCCACCAAUAAUGCUGCCUCAAAUCCUGAUACAUCUUGGCGGCACCUGGAUGAAUAGAAUAUCGCAAACUUUGGGCCCCCUCAAGAAUCAACUCAUGAAGUCCAUCCACAUUGGGCGUGUCACACCUCCUUUUUUACUACCCCGGAAGGGAGUAUAAGGGAGUUUGUUUCCAACUUAAAGUGACAAUCGAAACAGGAUUAUUUAAUUAUUAAAUUCAAAGUUGCCACUUGGGAUAAUUUUAAGGUGUCCCAAGUCACCGGUUCAAAUCUCGAAUCGAGGAAAAUAUUAACUCUGUUUUACAGUCUGCGAACACCGAAAUCCGGGUAAGGAAUUCUGUUAACCCGAGAGAAGGUGUUAGGUAUUCCGGGUUCCGUGGUUUUAGCACGGUCGCUCAACUGUUAUUCUUGGACUAUUAUCUGAUUUUAAAACAUGUUUUAGUCUGUGGUUCAACUUUAACUUAAAAACCGCUUUUAUUUAUUUUAAAGAAGAUUUGACAUCGUCUAAAACAUAUCUUUGGACCGCGCCACAUGAAAUACACCCGCAAUCCGAAACAUAUUUUACUCAACGUUAUUAAGAUUUAGAUUUGGGUCAUAUGAAAUGCACACCCGAGUUUAGGAAGGUAAAUUUUAAAAUACGCACCUAAAGCAACUACGCACUUUCAAAUUUGCGAGGGCCAUGGAAAAUUCAACUAAAUGGCACGCCUCGAUUUCUAAGGAUUAAAAUUAAUGGAGGGUCAUGAGUUUUGAGAUUAUUGUGAGGCCAUUAAAUUAUGGACAUUAAUUGUGAUAAAUAAAGAACUGAUCGCUACGAACAGUCAUAAAGUUGGCAGAUUUAAUUCGAUCAAUUCUUGCACUUGACAAUCAUGCCCAACUCCUUACUGGUCCAAUAUUCGGGUUUUUAUUGCCUUUAAUGUUCAUAAAAAAUAGCAUAAUAUAAAUACUUCAAUUCUAGCAAGAUAGCUUAAAAUAAACCAAAAUUAAGGAAGAACUACGCCUAAAAAAAUCGUGAACAUUAAACACCUAGGCGUAGACAAUUGAGUUUGGACCUACAACACUAAUUGCUAAUUCUGUCAUCAAACAGUGAAUUUAAUUAAAGAAACUAGAACAAAUUUUUAUUAGCUUAUAAAGACAAUAAAAUGAAGGCAAAGCUAUAUUAAUAAGUAAAUUACAUUAGGCAUAUAACUACCAGCUAAUCACAUGUAUCUUAAUCAGUUUUUAAUGAGAUCAGUCACUCAUACUCAAGCACAAAUUAGGCACCGAACGCAUCAAAUUUCCAUUCGCAAGCUCGAAAUAGAAGAGAACGGUUUACAUACCUAAAUGCAAAAAUACCACAAGAAUGGGCUGGGUAGAGAUCUUAAUAGCAACAAUACAUCUCUCAACAACCAAACCCGGACUUUACAGCAGCUCACCGCGCAAGGUUUCAAUUUAAAAGAGAAGAAAGCCAAAUAAGACUGGAAUUGACGAGUUUGAAGCUCGGCAACAACAGAAUCAACACAACCCAGCUUCCAUUUCUGAAAUAAAUCAACUCGGACCCCAGAAGUUAUAGAAGUAAUGCAACAGAAAUUGAACCAGAUUUGACAAUUCUUUGUAGUUCUUUCUUUACUCUUUUUUUUGAAGCUUUGAGGGAGGGGAUUCGUCUGGUUCUUUUUUACAUGAAAAGGGAUCUAAAUCAGUCUCCUAUGUGUUUCAAAGAGAGGUGUGGGUUGAGGAUGAGAAGCAUCAGCGUUUUCUUUUGGUGUCGAAGAAAUGGGUAUCCCUUUUCCCUGCAGUGCUACCCUUUUGUCGGGGAUCUUUUUAGGUCUCCCAAAAUGUGAUCUCUUUUGUGCCUUAGCUACCCUUUACGUGACGUGAGGGAUUAGGGUAUAAAAAAUGAAAAAAGGGGUAAUGGGUCAAAUGAGUAUUGGUAUUGGAAUUGGG
RNAcentral lists this long non-coding RNA (9033 nucleotides) under Nicotiana tabacum (common tobacco). Its description in RNAcentral is "long non-coding RNA (NTAB_LNC012397)". The record is from RNAcentral. Lineage: Eukaryota; Viridiplantae; Streptophyta; Magnoliopsida; Solanales; Solanaceae.